Leptolyngbya valderiana is the source of this 54-nucleotide non-coding RNA. The record is from Rfam. Lineage: Bacteria; Bacillati; Cyanobacteriota; Cyanophyceae; Leptolyngbyales; Leptolyngbyaceae.
CAGUAGAUGCACCCUGAUGGCAACGCCCGGAUUUCAGUCCUGGGCGUUUUUUUU